RNAcentral lists this transfer RNA (89 nucleotides) under Nitriliruptorales bacterium. RNAcentral's name for it is "tRNA-Ser". It matches the Rfam family "tRNA". From Rfam's summary of the family: Transfer RNA (tRNA) molecules are approximately 80 nucleotides in length. Their secondary structure includes four short double-helical elements and three loops (D, anti-codon, and T loops). The record is from RNAcentral. RNAcentral also lists the same sequence under 1 other name. Lineage: Bacteria; Bacillati; Actinomycetota; Nitriliruptoria; Nitriliruptorales.
GGAGGGAUCGCAUAGCCUGGCCGAGUGCGCCCGCCUCGAAAGCGGGUAGGCCCGCAAGGGUCUCGUGGGUUCAAAUCCCACUCCCUCCG